AAACAUGUUAUACAAAGAGGCCUUGGAAACUAAUAAGAUAUGGACAAGGUGUAGUGUUUCAGGCAGUAUAUAGUGCAGGUAGCGUUCAGUGUUUUAAACACAUGACCACGAUGGCAUAUAUGUCUCUAGACAUGUAAUAAGGGGUGCAUUCGCAUGUGGUGUGCAUGUGUGUAGUGGUGUGCCUGCUUAUGCAUCUUCCUUUUAAUCAUAAAAAAAAGAGAGAAGUGGCAUAUAUAAAUUGGAAACAGUUGAAAUAUAAGCAAUUGAACCAUGGUAUGGAAGAACAAAUUUUCAAAACUUAGCAACCCAGGCAAACAGAUUCAAUAAAAAAUGUAAAUCCUUGAUGUUUAUCUCUGGAUAACUACAUUUAUAGAUGAUCAAAGCAGUCCAGCCUUCAACAAAUCUAAAUACUUACAAAAAACAAUGCGAUUUCGUGGAAAAAAACCAAAAAUUACUCUAUCUCUGCUACUUAAAAAAUGUUCCAGCAACCAAAGCAGGGCGUCCUGCCAUUCCACGUUGUUCAACCCCACUCCCCCCUCCAUUGCUCGCUGCUAGUUGUCCCUCUGCUCCAGUCUCCGCGCGUCUCGCCCUACCCCAAUCCCGCUCCUCGGCACAAUCCGCGCGCCACCGCAGCCUGCAUCCGCCCCUCCCCCUCUCCCCUCUCUCUCCAUUGCAAUCCCUCUCGCAACAUCCCCAAGCCCGCAACCCCCGCCGUCACUCCCUCGAACUCGACUGCAGCGAUGCCGUCCUCCCCGAUCUGUGCUUGUCCAUCUCGUCUCCCACCUCAGCCACGUGCUUCUCUAUCAUCAUAGAUGGCGGCAACGGUGGGCACCAGGGCCCACGUCUUCGCUGCAGGGCCCAACGUCCGUCGGGAUCUGGUGUGCUCCUCUAUGACGCUCGUCUCCCCGAGCAUCGACGUGGACUUCAAGUGGAGUGACCACAUCGCCGCCGGAUAAAUCAAGAACCAGGAUUGCUGCCGGUUGUUCAGUGCAUUAGGGGCGCACGUACUACCUGGCUACGCGGCAAGGUGGAUCCGGCGAGGCGUACAGCUAUGCGUUGCGGCGCCGCCGCUCGCCUUUUUUGAUCGGUUUUUUUAAUACAAUUCCCAUAUACUAUCUCAGUACCAGCCCAUAAACGCCUAAAUAAUGGAACUUGGGAUAAGAUAAAGUAUUACCAACAAUGGUGGCCUUGUAGUCGACCAGAUACUCAUGUUGACAAGCUUAUGAAGUACGGUUGCAGGCUAAACUUUGUGCAAAUGUGGUGUCUCAUCUGCUCAACUGUUUUUGGGAGAAGAACGAGUGUCACAUGGAAAAUCUAUCCGAAUUGGGAAUUUCUGUGCUAAAACUUUCUUUCUCGUAGUGCAACCUUCAAGUUUGACUCUCGUAAUCUCUUAUGUACAUAAAACGUAGAUGAAGAAGAAAUGGGAAUUUCA
Molecule: long non-coding RNA, 1432 nt
Organism: Phragmites australis (common reed)
Lineage: Eukaryota; Viridiplantae; Streptophyta; Magnoliopsida; Poales; Poaceae
Exons: 2
Source: RefSeq, a predicted model, not a curated record